CACCUCGAUGUCGGCCCAUCGCAUCCUGGGGCUGAAGGCGGUCCCAAGGGUUUGGCUGUUCGCCAAUUAAAGCGGUACGCGAGCUGGGUUCAGACCGGCGUGAGCCAGGUCGGUCCCUAUCUGUCGUGGGCGCAGGAUUAUUGAAGAGGACUCAACCCUAGUACGAGAGGAUUAGGUUGGACGGACCCCUGGUAUAUCUAUUGCACCGCUCGGUGCACAGUAGAGUAGCUAUGUCCGGACAGGAUAAACGCUGAAAGCAUCUAAGCGUGAAACCUCCCUCAAGAUGAGUAAUCCCCAUUAGCCUCCAUGUAGACUACGUGGUUGAUAGGCCGGAAGUGUAAGCACAGUAAUGUGUUGAGCUGACCGGUACUAACAGGCAACUGGCUUGACCAC
RNAcentral lists this ribosomal RNA (393 nucleotides) under Phycisphaerae bacterium. RNAcentral's name for it is "partial 23S ribosomal RNA". It matches the Rfam family "Bacterial large subunit ribosomal RNA", at positions 2522 to 2925 of the family's 2925-position model. The record is from RNAcentral. Lineage: Bacteria; Pseudomonadati; Planctomycetota; Phycisphaerae.